RNAcentral lists this transfer RNA (72 nucleotides) under Marmota monax (woodchuck). Its description in RNAcentral is "tRNA.Ala". The record is from RNAcentral. Lineage: Eukaryota; Metazoa; Chordata; Mammalia; Rodentia; Sciuridae.
UGGGAAUAUAGCUCAGUUGGUAGAGUGCUUGCUUUGCAUGUGCAAAGCCUGGAUUCAAUCCCCAGGACCUAA